GUUUUAGCUAUUACAAACUGUGCCGCUAUAAACAUAGCUGUACAUGUAUCACUGUGAUAUGAUUCUUUUAAUUCUUUUGGAAAGAUACCCAGCAGAGGGAUGGCUGGGUCAAAUGGAACCUCUAGUCCCAGGUCUUCGAGGUAUCUCCAUAUUGAUUUCCAUAGUGGCUGCACCAUAUGAGAGAAUUUUUUGUGGUGAUAGGUUUUUGAAGGAUCUGGAUUCCAGGGUUUGCAGACAUAGCCAGACCUCUAUAUGAAGCUUUGAAGGGCCCAGAAGGACAGUAGUUAUUACAGGGUAAAGAGCAAAGGUCAACAUUUAAACAGCUAAAACUAACUCUGCUGCCCCUUGUAUCAGGGAUCCUAAAUUGACUCAGUCUUUUACUUUGUACAUGACUGAAAGAAAGCAUACUGCUUUAGGGGUGCUCACUCAUGGAGUAGGCCCAUGGAGUCAGCCAGUAGCAUAUUUAUCUUACGAGUUUCGAUCCAGCUAUGAAGGGAUUGCCCCCUUAUUUAUGAGCCCUGACAGCUGUAGUUAUGCUAAUUAAGGAAGCUAACAAGCUAACAUUAGGAAAAAAUGGAUUGUUCAGUUUCCCCAUACCUUUUAGAACUGUUGAAUAACAGAGGACAUCGAUGGCUCUCAAAUAAUAGAGUCACAUAAUAUCAGAUGCUCAUCUGUGAGAAUCCCUGCCUAUAUUUUGCUCCAGCUGAAACCUUAAACCCUGCUGCUUUUUGCCCUCAGAAUCUGGCCCCUGGACCACGACUGCCUACGGGUCACCAACGAGUUGUUCUCAAGUCAUCCAGAUCUGCAGAAAGACACGCUGCCUGAUGCUGAUUUCGUCCUGUUCAAGGAUGGGAAAUGGGGCUUACAGGUCACCCAACAGGAGAUACAGAACAAACUUGGCAGUACACAGGCAACAGACCCAUUGGCAGGAUCGAUACACUCCUGUCAGCCUGGGGACCUGGUGCACAUCGAAAGACAUACUCGCAAGGCCCUGGCACUGCUGUACAAAAGACCCUUUCCAGUGGUACUGUUCACUCCAACCGCAGUCAAAGUACCUGAAAUAGCUGCCUAGAUACAUCAUACUCACCUCAAAAGGGCCCCGCCAGAGGAAGAGUCAACUAAAUACAAAGGGAAGAUCAUCAGCCAAUGAAGAGACAAAAAGAUAAGGCUAAAACAAAUAAAACCCUGAUAUGACUAUCUGGGGCCUGGACAAAUAGAGUUUAUAAAAAUAUUGAUCCUUUCAUAUGGGUGUUUAUUAUAGUCAUGUUUGGGCCACUAUUCUCUGAAACAACAACAGAGCUACCACAGACCCAAUUAGAUGAUCCUGACAAUAUAUGGGUUCAAUUGGCAUAAUCACUUAAUAUGUCUAAAUUCUGUUUAACUGUAGAUUUAAAAUUACACUAUAUAUUAAAAAGUUAUCUUGUACCUGUGUGCACUCCUUUGACCUUGCUAUAGCCCUAUACUUUGUUUUAAAGAUAUCCCUGGAAGGGAUCACACUUAUGAAGAUAAUUGCUAUUGGAAAACCCCCUCCUAUCAAAAGCC
Molecule: long non-coding RNA, 1542 nt
Filed under: Fukomys damarensis (Damara mole-rat)
Lineage: Eukaryota; Metazoa; Chordata; Mammalia; Rodentia; Bathyergidae
Description: lncRNA (ENSFDAG00000029962.1)
Source: RNAcentral